GUGAAUUGCAGAAUCCCGUGAACCAUCGAGUCUUUGAACGCAAGUUGCGCCCGAAGCCAUUAGGCCGAGGGCACGUCUGCCUGGGCGUCACGC
This 93-nucleotide ribosomal RNA is filed under the name Gentiana dinarica. RNAcentral's name for it is "partial 5.8S ribosomal RNA". It matches the Rfam family "5.8S ribosomal RNA", at positions 67 to 154 of the family's 154-position model. Rfam says of the family: 5.8S ribosomal RNA (5.8S rRNA) is a component of the large subunit of the eukaryotic ribosome. RNAcentral also lists the same sequence under 1 other name. Lineage: Eukaryota; Viridiplantae; Streptophyta; Magnoliopsida; Gentianales; Gentianaceae. The record is from RNAcentral.